UUAAGCCCUGGGCAAACCAGGAAACAUUGUUGCGGAAACAUUUGUGAUUCUCGAUGUUUCCUCAAAUGUUUCCCUGUUUGCCCACCCGUGGAAACAUUGUUGCAGAAACAAAAUUUGCUUCCCGAGAAGCAAAAAUGUUUCCUAGCAAAUUCAGAAACAUUUGAUGUUUCCCUAUGUUUCUCACUAAUGUUUCCUAGUGUUUGCCCACUCUGGGAAACAUGGCGAAACAUUGGCAGGAAACAAUGUUUCCGCAACAAUGUUUCCUAGUUUGCCCAGGGCUUUAGA
This is a non-coding RNA of Paramuricea clavata, 285 nucleotides long. Lineage: Eukaryota; Metazoa; Cnidaria; Anthozoa; Malacalcyonacea; Plexauridae. The record is from the annotation of a GenBank genome assembly.